RNAcentral lists this transfer RNA (71 nucleotides) under Actinomycetes bacterium. RNAcentral's name for it is "Actinobacteria bacterium (activated sludge metagenome) tRNA-Gly". It matches the Rfam family "tRNA". From Rfam's summary of the family: Transfer RNA (tRNA) molecules are approximately 80 nucleotides in length. Their secondary structure includes four short double-helical elements and three loops (D, anti-codon, and T loops). Lineage: Bacteria; Bacillati; Actinomycetota; Actinomycetes. The record is from RNAcentral. RNAcentral also lists the same sequence under 2 other names.
GCGGGUGUAGCUCAAUGGUAGAGCCUCAGCCUUCCAAGCUGAUGGUGCCGGUUCGAUCCCGGUCACCCGCU